AAGUCGUAACAAGGUUUCCGUAGGUGAACCUGCGGAAGGAUCAUUACCGAGAGGCGGACCACGCACAAAGUGUGGUGUACGCGCCGCACUCUUAUCGCCCGUCGUUCGCGACGCAGAGCGAAGCGAGAAACGUUGCUCGACACGUUGCUCGACGUACAGAGAGCGAGACUUGGCUCGAGUCCAGCUCUCAACGGCAGAGGCAGAAAGUCGAUUUCGAAGUCGUCGCGCGCCAAGUAUUUUGGCGCGCAGUGCACGAGCGCCGUUACGAUGCAGCCCUGCGUUGUUGGCCUCGCACGCAACGACCAUCUGUUGUGAUGUCCUCCCCAUUUUUCACGGACACAACACUCAGAUGCGAGAUACUCGUUAACAGAACUGAUUGUGAGAAUACAUUGAAACGACCGUAAGCGGUGGAUCACUCGGCUC
This 423-nucleotide unclassified non-coding RNA is filed under the name fungal sp. Its description in RNAcentral is "partial internal transcribed spacer region". The stretch from base 1 to 46 matches the Rfam family "Eukaryotic small subunit ribosomal RNA", at positions 1786 to 1831 of the family's 1831-position model. Lineage: Eukaryota; Fungi. The record is from RNAcentral.